This 514-nucleotide ribosomal RNA is filed under the name Salmonella enterica. Its description in RNAcentral is "partial 23S ribosomal RNA". It matches the Rfam family "Bacterial large subunit ribosomal RNA", at positions 679 to 1191 of the family's 2925-position model. Lineage: Bacteria; Pseudomonadati; Pseudomonadota; Gammaproteobacteria; Enterobacterales; Enterobacteriaceae. RNAcentral also lists the same sequence under 1 other name. The record is from RNAcentral.
GAGUCUUAAUUGGGCGUUAAGUUGCAGGGUAUAGACCCGAAACCCGGUGAUCUAGCCAUGGGCAGGUUGAAGGUUGGGUAACACUAACUGGAGGACCGAACCGACUAAUGUUGAAAAAUUAGCGGAUGACCUGUGGCUGGGGGUGAAAGGCCAAUCAAACCGGGAGAUAGCUGGUUCUCCCCGAAAGCUAUUUAGGUAGCGCCUCGUGAAUUCAUCUCCGGGGGUAGAGCACUGUUUCGGCUAGGGGGCCAUCCCGGCUUACCAACCCGAUGCAAACUGCGAAUACCGGAGAAUGUUAUCACGGGAGACACACGGCGGGUGCUAACGUCCGUCGUGAAGAGGGAAACAACCCAGACCGCCAGCUAAGGUCCCAAAGUCAUGGUUAAGUGGGAAACGAUGUGGGAAGGCCCAGACAGCCAGGAUGUUGGCUUAGAAGCAGCCAUCAUUUAAAGAAAGCGUAAUAGCUCACUGGUCGAGUCGGCCUGCGCGGAAGAUGUAACGGGGCUAAACCAUG